GCAUAUCAAUAAGCGGAGGAAAAGAAACCAACCGGGAUUGCCUUAGUAACGGCGAGUGAAGCGGCAAAAGCUCAAAUUUGAAAUCUGGUACCUUUGGUGCCCGAGUUGUAAUUUGGAGAGGGCAACUUUGGGACCGUUCCUUGUCUAUGUUCCUUGGAACAGGACGUCAUAGAGGGUGAGAAUCCCGUGUGGCGAGGAGUGCGGUUCUAUGUAAAGUGCCUUCGAAGAGUCGAGUUGUUUGGGAAUGCAGCUCUAAGUGGGUGGUAAAUUCCAUCUAAAGCUAAAUAUUGGCGAGAGACCGAUAGCGAACAAGUACAGUGAUGGAAAGAUGAAAAGAACUUUGAAAAGAGAGUGAAAAAGUACGUGAAAUUGUUGAAAGGGAAGGGCAUUUGAUCAGACAUGGUGUUUUGCGCCCUCUGCUCCUUGUGGGUGGGGGAAUCUCGCAGUUCACUGGGCCAGCAUCAGUUUUGGUGGCAGGAUAAAUCCGUAGGAAUGUAACUUGCUUCGGGAAGUAUUAUAGCCUAUGGGAAUACUGCCAGCUGGGACUGAGGACUGCGACGUAAGUCAAGGAUGCUGGCAUAAUGGUUAUAUGCC
RNAcentral lists this ribosomal RNA (594 nucleotides) under Saccharomyces uvarum. RNAcentral's name for it is "eukaryotic LSU rRNA". It matches the Rfam family "Eukaryotic large subunit ribosomal RNA", at positions 38 to 646 of the family's 3401-position model. Lineage: Eukaryota; Fungi; Ascomycota; Saccharomycetes; Saccharomycetales; Saccharomycetaceae. The record is from RNAcentral.